Molecule: long non-coding RNA, 1147 nt
Filed under: Nicotiana benthamiana
Lineage: Eukaryota; Viridiplantae; Streptophyta; Magnoliopsida; Solanales; Solanaceae
Description: long non-coding RNA (NBEN_LNC026945)
Source: RNAcentral
AAUACUCCUCUCCCUAUUCUCUCUAUAUUGUUCUUGUCUUUUAUAUUAUUUCAUAACAAUUUGUUUGAUUUGUUUUCUAUUUUUUGGAUUUAUUUCUUUUUCUAUGGUCUUGAGUAAUCGUUUCUGAUUGUUCGAGUUCUCAUACUAACUAUUGUCAUGACUGACCUAGUUAAGAUACUUGUUUAUUUGGGUCUGGGUUUAAUUUGACCCAGUUUAGUAAUUAGAGGGUAAAUAAUAGAGGUUUAAAGAGUAGUUUAGGAAAUUGGGAAAGGAGAAUCUUUCUCAACUGCCAGGGAAACUCCUAGGAAGGUGCAAAAAGAGACUAUUUUAUCAAACAAGCUAGAAAAUCAGGGUUUAAAAUAAAAAUUGGGAAAAGAUAAUUAGUAAAACUUGAAAUUAUAUUUGUUGUCCUAGAGGUCUUCUUUAAAAGGUCUGUUUUCUUUCUUUUGAAGGAAGACUUUAGAGAGUGAGAUAUACCCAAAAACUUAGGGACAGUGGAACAAAAAAUAUUCUGAAAUAUAGAAGAUUCUUGCACCAUUUGGAGGUCAAAAAUUACUGGAAUUGGGUUUUCGAUCUCACUGUGAGUGGUAAUAAAAGGGUUUCAAAAGCUUUUCUUGAUUUGUUUGGUAUUCAAAUGGUUUGAGGAAGCUGGUUUUACUGUGCUUGCUUUGCUGAACUGCAAGCUACUACUAUUGCUGAUUCUUUCACCUUCCUUUUUCUUUGUCUUUCCGAGGUACAUCUUGGAUCUUGCCAAUAUAAGAAGUGUAUUUGGAAGCCUUGUAAUUGACUUAACUAGUUUUGGAUGAAUGUUCACCGAAUACUAGUUUAUAUUCUUCAAAGUUCACCUGGUUGUUCUUUAUUGAAGUAAUCUUACUAUCUUGAACUAACUUUAUUGUAUUCAGUCGUACUUAGAUAGUACCUUUUGAACUGCAUUUGAACUCUUUCUUUAUCAUGUACUUAAUUUCGACUGGUGCAACAUGGAUUAUUUUAUAUGAAUAGCAUCUUCGUUGGAGAAGUAUGAGUUUUCUUAUAAUCCUUUUAUACCUAGCAGUAAUUAUACUCAGUAGAAAUUGUUUGGGAGUUGUUUCUUUCAAAGUUUGGUCUUGGAUGAAAGCAUACAUAUAAAAUAUUAUUUACAAAGAAGCGA